Nanorana parkeri is the source of this 307-nucleotide long non-coding RNA. RefSeq lists it as uncharacterized. The record is from RefSeq and is a predicted model, not a curated record. NCBI's taxonomy places the organism in Eukaryota, Metazoa, Chordata, Amphibia, Anura, Dicroglossidae. The transcript is spliced from 3 exons.
AAGAAGACCUUCUCAUAGUGAUUUUAUGCUGCUGUGCUGUAGCUUUCAUACUCAUUGUUGUCAUCACAUUAACCAAAUUGUUUUGGAAAGACAGAAUAAAGCCUUUCAUUUGGCCAGAAAUGCCGGACCACAAAAGUGCACUGGAGAAAUUAUGUAUAUCACCAACAAAGUACAUCCAAAUAAGCUUUAAUCCGGACUUCUUUGACAAUUAUCAUAUUAAUAAAGUAGACUAUAUGAAAGCACAAGUGAGGACGGAAGACAAUUUGCAUGUUAGCGUGGCAGAUACCCAACCAGAAAAGCAGCUUGA